This is an RNA transcript of Vigna radiata var. radiata (mung bean), 821 nucleotides long. RefSeq lists it as uncharacterized. The transcript has 3 exons. NCBI's taxonomy places the organism in Eukaryota, Viridiplantae, Streptophyta, Magnoliopsida, Fabales, Fabaceae. The record is from RefSeq and is a predicted model, not a curated record.
AUCUUCCAACUUCUUCUUGUCGUGGUUAUGCGAUUGGAGAUCCUUUGUUUGGAUCCAGUUGAAAACAUGAAGAAGAUGUGGACGUCGGCUAUCCUCUUAACUAGUGGCAACUCCAGCAAGGGUCAGAGUUGCGAGUACAUCGGUCCCUGUGGUUUGGUUUGUCGAAACCAGGAUGGUAACCCCAACAUUCAGGUCACACCUAUAGACGAAGAGAAGACCAGUGUUUACCAGUGGCGGAAGUGGCGAGGGAAGAAAAAAGGACUUGUAUUGCGACCAACAACUCUUGCCAGACGGGAAUGGGUGGCGGCUGCUGACUUUGGCUGACAAUGAAUUCCUUUCUUUAUCUUUGUUUCUAUUUCUAUUUUAACCUUUCAUCUCACCACCAUCAUCAUUUACUAACCUUUCUCUUUCUCUUUUCUUCUUGAUUUUUGUUUUUCAAUUUUUUUUUAGGCUGUGUUGAAUAUGGGAAAUGAGAGAAUGGGUAAAGUGUCGCCGAAGGACUCUGCUCAGCUUCGCUGCUCCAAGCUUUCAGGUUUGACUUAUGCUUGUUAACGGAAUGGCAAACGUACCAAAUCGUUCAAGUAAUAAAUAUGAAAAGUGUUAUCUUACAGAAAGAGGAAAAAAGCUCCAAGAAUCAAGAAGUGAAAAUGGUGAUCAUCUCCUUGAGAUUUCUUAAAGAGAAGAAGAGCGUGCGACGCUCUUGACUUUGAGAGGUUUCUUAAAGGGUUUGGAUAGUAGAAGAGGGGAUUCUUGCUGCUGGUCUAAUCAUUGUACUACCUAUAUUUUGAUUAAAGGGUUAGGGAGGUAUUUUAUAUUUUUGA